RNAcentral lists this ribosomal RNA (497 nucleotides) under uncultured bacterium. Its description in RNAcentral is "partial 16S ribosomal RNA". It matches the Rfam family "Bacterial small subunit ribosomal RNA", at positions 28 to 507 of the family's 1533-position model. The record is from RNAcentral.
GAUGAACGCUGGCGGCGUGCCUAAUACAUGCAAGUCGAGCGAACGGACGAGAAGCUUGCUUCUCUGAUGUUAGCGGCGGACGGGUGAGUAACACGUGGAUAACCUACCUAUAAGACUGGGAUAACUUCGGGAAACCGGAGCUAAUACCGGAUAAUAUUUUGAACCGCAUGGUUCAAAAGUGAAAGACGGGCUUGCUGCCACUUAUAGAUGGAUCCGCGCUGCAUUAGCUAGUUGGUAAGGUAACGGCUUACCAAGGCAACGAUGCAUAGCCGACCUGAGAGGGUGAUCGGCCACACUGGAACUGAGACACGGUCCAGACUCCUACGGGAGGCAGCAGUAGGGAAUCUUCCGCAAUGGGCGAAAGCCUGACGGAGCAACGCCGCGUGAGUGAUGAAGGUCUUCGGAUCGUAAAACUCUGUUAUUAGGGAAGAACAUAUGUGUAAGUAACUGUGCACAUCUUGACGGUACCUAAUCAGAAAGCCACGGCUAACUACGUG